GGAAGGAUGGCCGAGCGGUUGAUGGCGCUGGUCUUGAAAACCAGUUUAGGGCUUUGCCCUAACGGGGGUUCAAAUCCCUCUCCUUCCG
This 88-nucleotide transfer RNA is filed under the name Elusimicrobia bacterium RIFOXYB2_FULL_49_7. RNAcentral's name for it is "tRNA-Ser". It matches the Rfam family "tRNA". Rfam says of the family: Transfer RNA (tRNA) molecules are approximately 80 nucleotides in length. Their secondary structure includes four short double-helical elements and three loops (D, anti-codon, and T loops). The record is from RNAcentral. Lineage: Bacteria; Pseudomonadati; Elusimicrobiota.